GGUUGAUUGCCCGGGUGACUGGGGAGAACACUGACAGCCACUGCGGUUCCACUGAGACCUUCAGCCGCAGAGACCAAAGACCAGCAACAUCAGACAGCCAAAUUACCUGCCCUGUAAUUGGUCCUCAGGCGCUGAUGAAUGUGGCCAUAAGAACGGGCAGGCAGCGCAUGUUUUUAAACGUUUGCAUUCCGUAGUCGAUCCCCUGACCGCUACAGUGAAUAGGAAUUUGCAGACAAGCUGCUCACAAACCAGCCCCUGGUUCAUCCGUGGGUACUCAAGAACCUUAUCGAUGUUCCCUGCCCUCGCCGCUCGCAGGAAGCUGGUGUUGCUGUCCGACUGUAGAAAAAGAAAGCACAGAGAAAGACAUAGCUCAGA
Esox lucius (northern pike) is the source of this 375-nucleotide long non-coding RNA. The record is from Ensembl. NCBI's taxonomy places the organism in Eukaryota, Metazoa, Chordata, Actinopteri, Esociformes, Esocidae.